GACGAACGCUGGCGGCGUGCUUAACACAUGCAAGUCGAACGGAAAGGCCCCUUUGGGGGUACUCGAGUGGCGAACGGGUGAGUAACACGUGAGUAACCUGCCCUUGACUUCGGGAUAACUUCCGGCAACUGGGGGUAAUACCGGCUAGGAAUCCUUGCUUCCUGGUGGGGGGUGGAUAGCUUUGUGGGUUUGGGAUGGACGCGCGGCUUAUCAGCUUGUUUGUGGGGGAGGGGCUUACCUAGGCUUUGACGGGUAGCCGGCCUGAGUGGGAGACCGGCCCCAUUGGGACUGGGAUUCGGCCCAGACUCCUUCCGGGGGGAGGAGGUGGGAAUAAUGCACAAUGGGCGGGAGCCUGAUGCAGCAACGGCGCGGGCGGGAUUACGGGCUUCGGGUUGGAAACCGCUUUCAGCAGGGGCGAAGCUUGUGGUGACGGUACCUGCAGAAGAAGCACCGGCUAACUACGUG
RNAcentral lists this ribosomal RNA (465 nucleotides) under uncultured bacterium. RNAcentral describes it as "partial 16S ribosomal RNA". It matches the Rfam family "Bacterial small subunit ribosomal RNA", at positions 28 to 507 of the family's 1533-position model. The record is from RNAcentral.